This 839-nucleotide ribosomal RNA is filed under the name Streptomyces sp. IM-7556. Its description in RNAcentral is "bacterial SSU rRNA". It matches the Rfam family "Bacterial small subunit ribosomal RNA", at positions 38 to 889 of the family's 1533-position model. Lineage: Bacteria; Bacillati; Actinomycetota; Actinomycetes; Kitasatosporales; Streptomycetaceae. The record is from RNAcentral.
GGCGGCGUGCUUAACACAUGCAAGUCGAACGAUGAACCGGUUUCGGCCGGGGAUUAGUGGCGAACGGGUGAGUAACACGUGGGCAAUCUGCCCUGCACUCUGGGACAAGCCCUGGAAACGGGGUCUAAUACCGGAUACGACUGCCGACCGCAUGGUCUGGUGGUGGAAAGCUCCGGCGGUGCAGGAUGAGCCCGCGGCCUAUCAGCUUGUUGGUGGGGUGAUGGCCUACCAAGGCGACGACGGGUAGCCGGCCUGAGAGGGCGACCGGCCACACUGGGACUGAGACACGGCCCAGACUCCUACGGGAGGCAGCAGUGGGGAAUAUUGCACAAUGGGCGCAAGCCUGAUGCAGCGACGCCGCGUGAGGGAUGACGGCCUUCGGGUUGUAAACCUCUUUCAGCAGGGAAGAAGCGUGAGUGACGGUACCUGCAGAAGAAGCGCCGGCUAACUACGUGCCAGCAGCCGCGGUAAUACGUAGGGCGCAAGCGUUGUCCGGAAUUAUUGGGCGUAAAGAGCUCGUAGGCGGCUUGUCGCGUCGGAUGUGAAAGCCCGGGGCUUAACUCCGGGUCUGCAUUCGAUACGGGCAGGCUAGAGUUCGGUAGGGGAGAUCGGAAUUCCUGGUGUAGCGGUGAAAUGCGCAGAUAUCAGGAGGAACACCGGUGGCGAAGGCGGAUCUCUGGGCCGAUACUGACGCUGAGGAGCGAAAGCGUGGGGAGCGAACAGGAUUAGAUACCCUGGUAGUCCACGCCGUAAACGUUGGGAACUAGGUGUGGGCGACAUUCCACGUCGUCCGUGCCGCAGCUAACGCAUUAAGUUCCCCGCCUGGGGAGUACGGCCGC